RNAcentral lists this ribosomal RNA (591 nucleotides) under uncultured Micromonas. RNAcentral's name for it is "partial Bacterial small subunit ribosomal RNA". It matches the Rfam family "Bacterial small subunit ribosomal RNA", at positions 931 to 1532 of the family's 1533-position model. Lineage: Eukaryota; Viridiplantae; Chlorophyta; Mamiellophyceae; Mamiellales. The record is from RNAcentral.
GGUGGAGUAUGUGGUUUAAUUCGACAACACGAAGAACCUUACCAGGGUUUGAAAUCAUUUCAAAACUCCUUGAAAGAGGAGCCUCCUUCGGGAUGAAAUGACAGGUGGUGCAUGGCUGUCGUCAGCUCGUGUUGUGAAAUGUCGAGUUAAGUCUCGUAACGAGCGCAACCCAUGUCUCUUGUUGCUCACUGAGUGCUUAAGAGAGACUGCCGACCAACAUCGGAGGAAGGUGUGGAUGAUGUCAAGUCAGCAUGCCCCUUACAUCCUGGGCUACACACGUACUACAAUGGUAAGGACAAUGAGCUGCGAUCCUGCGAAGGCUAGCCAAUCUCAAAAACCUUAUCUCAGUUCGGAUUGUACUCUGCAACUCGAGUACAUGAAGGUGGAAUCGCUAGUAAUCGCUGGUCAGCUAUACAGCGGUGAAUACGUUCCCGGGUCUUGUACACACUGCCCGUCACACCAUGGAAGCCGACUCUUCCCUAAGUCGUUACUCGAACCCAUUGGGACGAGGAUGCCGAAGGCAGGGUUGGUGACUGGGGUGAAGUCGUAACAAGGUAGCCGUACUGGAAGGUGUGGCUGGAAUACCUCCUU